RNAcentral lists this ribosomal RNA (493 nucleotides) under uncultured bacterium. RNAcentral describes it as "partial 16S ribosomal RNA". It matches the Rfam family "Bacterial small subunit ribosomal RNA", at positions 29 to 507 of the family's 1533-position model. The record is from RNAcentral.
AGUGAACGCUGGCGGUAGGCCUAACACAUGCAAGUCGAACGGCAGCACGGUAAGAGCUUGCUCUUACGGGUGGCGAGUGGCGGACGGGUGAGGAAUACAUCGGAAUCUACUUUUUCGUGGGGGGAUAACGUAGGGAAACUUACGCUAAUACCGCAUACGACCUACGGGUGAAAGCAGGGGAUCUUCGGACCUUGCGCGAUUGAAUGAGCCGAUGUCGGAUUAGCUAGUUGGCGGGGUAAAGGCCCACCAAGGCGACGAUCCGUAGCUGGUCUGAGAGGAUGAUCAGCCACACUGGAACUGAGACACGGUCCAGACUCCUACGGGAGGCAGCAGUGGGGAAUAUUGGACAAUGGGCGCAAGCCUGAUCCAGCCAUACCGCGUGGGUGAAGAAGGCCUUCGGGUUGUAAAGCCCUUUUGUUGGGAAAGAAAAGCAGCAGGUUAAUACCCCGCUGUUCUGACGGUACCCAAAGAAUAAGCACCGGCUAACUUCGUG